GACGAACGCUGGCGGCGUGCUUAACACAUGCAAGUCGAACGGACAGGCCCUGCUUUUGUUGGGUUCUCGUUUGCCGAACGCGGGAGUAACACGUGAGUAACCUGCCCUUGACUUUCGGAUAACUUCAGGAGACUGCGGCUCAUAUCCGAGAUGAUCUUCUGCUGCAUGGUGGGGGUUGGAAAAUUACGGCGGUUGGGGAUGGAAUGGCGGCUUAUGAGCUGGUUGGUGGGGUAGUUGAUGUCCACGGCUUCGACGGGUAGCCGGCCUAGGAGGGUGAACGGCCACCAUGGGACUGAGAGACGGAGCAGACUCCUACGGGAGGCAGCAGUGGGGAAUAUUGCAGAAUGGGCGGAAGCCUGAUGCAGCGACGCCGCGUGCGGGAUGACGGCUUUCGGGUUGUAAACCGCUUUCGACUGUGACGAAGCGUGAGUGACGGUAAUGGGUAAAGAAGCACCGGCUAACUACGUG
RNAcentral lists this ribosomal RNA (468 nucleotides) under uncultured bacterium. RNAcentral's name for it is "partial 16S ribosomal RNA". It matches the Rfam family "Bacterial small subunit ribosomal RNA", at positions 28 to 507 of the family's 1533-position model. The record is from RNAcentral.